Molecule: ribosomal RNA, 158 nt
Filed under: uncultured Pseudomonas sp.
Lineage: Bacteria; Pseudomonadati; Pseudomonadota; Gammaproteobacteria; Pseudomonadales; Pseudomonadaceae
Description: partial 16S ribosomal RNA
Rfam family: Bacterial small subunit ribosomal RNA
Source: RNAcentral
GGGCGAAGCUGAUCAGCCAUGCCGCGUGUGUGAAGAAGGUCUUCGGAUUGUAAAGCACUUUAAGUUGGGAGGAAGGGCAGUAAGUUAAUACCUUGCUGUUUUGACGUUACCAACAGAAUAAGCACCGGCUAACUUCGUGCCAGCAGCCGCGGUAANNG